This 301-nucleotide ribosomal RNA is filed under the name uncultured bacterium. RNAcentral describes it as "partial 16S ribosomal RNA". It matches the Rfam family "Bacterial small subunit ribosomal RNA", at positions 509 to 807 of the family's 1533-position model. The record is from RNAcentral.
CAGCCGCCACGGGAAUACGUAGGGUGCAAGCGUUAAUCGGAAUUACUGGGCGUAAAGCGUGCGCAGGCGGUUUGUUAAGACAGAUGUGAAAUCCCCGGGCUCAACCUGGGAACUGCAUUUGUGACUGGCAAGCUAGAGUGUGGCAGAGGGGGGUGGAAUUCCGUGUGUAGCAGUGAAAUGCGUAGAUAUGCGGAGGAACACCGAUGGCGAAGGCAGCCCCCUGGGCCAAUACUGACGCUCAUGCACGAAAGCGUGGGGAGCAAACAGGAUUAGAGACCCCCGUAGUCCCUGUCUCUUAUAC